AGGAGUCUAGUGAAGCGAUUCCAGAAUGUUCCACAAGUUGAAUACAACUCCAUCAGAAGUUUCAUUAGCAGCCAAAAUUCAGGUGAAAUCAAGCUGCCUGCAGACUACUGCAGUGUGGACCUGGACCUGGACGCCGAGUUCGAGGUCAUCCUGCCGCGUCGACGCGGCCUCGGCCUCUGUUCGACCGCCUUGGUUAGCUACUUGAUUAACCUACACAAUCAAAUCGUCUACACGGUGGAAAAGUUCUCCAACGAAAGCAACAGGUAUGUGCACGAACCACAAGAAGCGGUGCCCGCUCGACCCGGGUUCCUGAGCCCACGGGGCAGAUGCGGGCCAAGCUUAGCUCUGUCCCCAGCAGACGCUUCCUCAGCCGCGCCCACCGGUGUCCCACACUCGCGUGUGCUUGGUGCGCUCAGAGUGUGAGGACACGAAACAGGAACUGCUCCCCGCACGCUGGAGAGUCCGCCCGCACGCUCGACCUGCACACUGAGCGCUGCCUCUGUGUCCCUCAGCUAUUCUGUGGACGCCUCUGAGGUCACCGACCUGCACGUCAUCAAUUACGAGGCGGAGCGGGACCUGACCCCGCUGAUUCUGUCCAACUGCCAGUAUCAGGUGGAGCAGGGCGGCGAGACCUCGCAGGAGUUCCACCUGGAGAAGAUCCAGCGCCAGGUCACCAGCCGCUGCCUCCAGGGCAAGCCCAGGCUGACCCUGAAGGGAAUACCCACUCUGGUAUACAGACAUGACUGGAACUACGAACAUCUCUUUGAGGACAUCAAGAACAGAAUGGCACAGAACUCCCUCCCCAAGUCGGCCAUCAGAGCCAUCAGUGGACAACUGCAGUCCUACAGCGAUACCUGUGAAGCUCUGUCCAUCAUAGAAGUCACCUUGGGGUUUCUGAGCACGGCAGGCGGGGAUCCAAACAUGCGCUUGAAUACGUAUGUCCAAGACGUCUUGCGAAUGGGUGACCAGACGGCUCUCGUGCUAAAGGCCUUGGAGAGGUGUCAGUUAAAACACAGCAUUGCCCUCUGGCAGCUCCUCUCUGCUUACAAGUCCGAACAGCUGCUGCGACUGAACAAAGUGAGUGGGCCUCUGUCUCUUCCCGGGAUGGAGGGAGCUGUGCCCCUCUCUUUGCGGGCUGGCUUUAGUGUCUCACUUGUCCUUCCUUCAUUUCAGGAGCCUUUUAGGGAAAUCAGCUCAAGGUACAAAGAGGACCUCAGCCCAGAAAAUGCUAAGCUGCUCGGCACUUUCCUGAAUCAGAUUAGCCUGGAUACCUUCCUGCUGGAACUCCACGAAAUGAUGGUCUUGAAACUGAAGAACCGCCAAGACCAGGACAGUUUCAAUCCUGAGUGGAGCCUGAGAGACACUCUGGUAGUGUGCAUGGAAACUAAAGAGAGUGAAAUUCUUCCUGAAGUGGAGUACCAGUUCCCGGGAGAGAUCCUGCUCUCGAAUUGUGUCUGCGUGUGGAAAAUGGCGGCCGCGCUGAAACGGGAUCGACAGAUGCGAUAGCAUCGCCUCCUCAGCGCUGUGUUUGGGGAGACUUGGGGGGAAGGCUCUGGCCCCGUACCCACGGCCCGGAUCCCACCACGGGCCGCUGCCUUUGUGAGUGCUCAGGAGGAAGCUGUUGGCGCAGCACUCAACGCAAGACCAGGGUGUGCUGUGUGAGCUGCUUCUGAAACAAGGAUGUAUCCAAACUUCCUCAUCCUGUGAAAUCUGUUCGUUCGAGGAGUUGACGAAGACUACAUGGAAUUGGAAAUAACCUGCCAUCGUUUACAUUGCAGGAGGGACAAAGAAGCUUCUCAGCCUCACAGGCAGUGAUGGCUGGUGUCUGGAACCUCUGGCACUUCCUCAGACACAGGUCCCUCCUCAGACUACUGCAUAAUUAGAGGGAGGGGACAAAACAGAUCACUAGUUUUGCUUUUAUCCUUUUUCUAAGUUAUUCUAUACUCAGGAAAGAAUCUGGUUUUCUUCUUUCUUCUAUGACCUUAAAUUCUGAGUACUAUACAGAUAUUUCUGGGUUUCCAAGAAGAUGUGAAAAAGUACUAGACUCUUCUGUCUUCUCACAAAUACAAGAAAAAUCAGGACAUUUUGUAAGUGCCUUAAGACCAAACUAACAAGAUCCCAGCAGACCCGCAUGAGUCACUGCCACGUCUCAGAGGGCGAGAGCCAGAAAGCCUGCGUUGUGAAGAGCUCUGGGCCGGGCGUCAGGGACACUUCUGGGUCUUAGUUUCCUCACGUACAAAGAGAAGGGAGUGGGUUGGUGGCCAAAGGUCCUUACAAUUCUAAAACUUUUAAAUUCUAAAUGAACGUUGAUUAAUGUCAAC
Molecule: long non-coding RNA, 2321 nt
Filed under: Microcebus murinus (gray mouse lemur)
Lineage: Eukaryota; Metazoa; Chordata; Mammalia; Primates; Cheirogaleidae
Description: lncRNA (ENSMICG00000048765.1)
Source: RNAcentral